RNAcentral lists this long non-coding RNA (1167 nucleotides) under Sus scrofa (pig). RNAcentral describes it as "lncRNA (ENSSSCG00070018227.1)". Lineage: Eukaryota; Metazoa; Chordata; Mammalia; Artiodactyla; Suidae. The record is from RNAcentral.
UUCAGGAGUGUUUUGUUUGUUCCUUUGCUUUUCUCUUCUGGCCGCCCAGUGGCCUAUGGAGCUCCUGGGCCAGGGGUCAGAUCAGAUUCUGAGCCGCAGUUGGGACCUAAGCCACAGCUGUGGUGAUGCCAGAUUCUUAACCCACUGUGCCAGGUUGGGGAUGGAACCUGUGUCCCAGUGCUCCCAAGAUGCCAUCCAUCCUGUUGCUCCACAGCAGGAACUCCUUCAGGGCUAUUCACAUGGGACCUGAAGCCCACCUUGUCAGCCCCAACUCUGGGAGCUCCUCAGCCCAGUGUGCAGUAAGCGCUCACUGUUAGCUGGCCGGGAUGGUUUCACGGAGGGGAAGGGGCAAGUCUAGGGAGACCACUUGUCCUUCUGGUUUGGGCCUCUGGCUAAGACGGAGGCCAAAAUUGGGGAGAGAAGAUGUGCUGAGUUUAGGACAGGCUGAACCAUGGUGUGACUGGGACGCCCAGGCCGUGGGGUGUGGGGCUGGCUCCCUGAGGACCCCGGGAUGGGGUAAGAGGGAGAAGAGACGGAGAGGGUGCAGGGGGAGGAGAGCCUGGGGGGAAAGGAGUCUCAUUUUCCAGGGAGCAGGCAACAGGGUCAGACGCCAAGCCUCAGACCCCUCCUGGAUACGAACCAUCCCCUGCCUCAUCAGAGCCUGGGAAGAUUUCCUACUCGUGAGGCUAACGAAUCGCUCAGAACACAACCAUCUCAUUAAGCAAUUAGCUCUGGGAGCGCCAAGGCAAGGAAGUGACCUCACUGGCCGCUCGACAAGACACCGCCCUGCCGCUGGGGAGGAAGAUUGCCGGAAAGCAGGAGGAGCACUGCGUGGAGUUAAGUGGUGCAAUCUCUCUGGGCUUCUGAAAAUAGCAGAUGACCAGGACCAGGCCGGGUGAUUUCUAAAUUACUUCCAGCGCAAAAAAAAAAAAUUCUUAGUGGUCAGACUGCUACCAACUCCACAGGUCACUCCCCUCACACCUGCCCCUGGAGGGCGCAGUCCCUUUAAAAACCAAGGCCUUGCCUUACGCUUGGGCCAAUCACCGUGAACAGAAGUUCUUUAAGGACCAAAGGAGGGAAUUCAGCCGGAGGAGGGCGGGGCAGGGGCGUGCCUUCCAGCCAAUCGGAAUCUUCUUGGCGACUAGGGACUCACGUGCAAAGCUCUGC